GGGGGCGUAGCUCAGCUGGGNNGCAUCCGUAAGGUCGAGAGUUCGAUCCUCUUCGUCUCCAUCA
This 64-nucleotide transfer RNA is filed under the name Clostridiales bacterium. RNAcentral's name for it is "tRNA-OTHER". Lineage: Bacteria; Bacillati; Bacillota; Clostridia; Eubacteriales. The record is from RNAcentral.